AUGAUGAGAAAGGAAAAAGCCCUGGAUGCCAGCCCUGAGCCUGCAACAAGACUCACAACUUCAGCCUGGGAGAGAUGCAGCAGCUGCUCUGGUCAGAGAUGGCUCCGGCUCCUCCAGGUUUCAAAUGUUUAUUCUGGAAGAAAAAAGGACGAAAGGAGACAGGAAAGUUUGCACAAACAAAUCUUGCCAUUUUUCAAAUGGAAGUUUUUGCUCUCCUUGGAGUUGUCACCAGCUGUUUGUACUCAAAUCCCCAAAAAUGAGGUGGAGAGAGAAGCAGGAUCCCUGACACGACUGCAGAGACUGUUCCUCAUGGUGCCUGCUGGCACCAGGAGCUUUUCAAUUGCUAUGUGUAUUUUUCCAGCAGGAAAAAAAAAUCUUUCCAAUGGGAUGAAAUCAGCCUCCGAGUUUAUAUUUUCCCUGUCUCUACAAUUGUCUUGGUGGCAGUUACGGGAAGGCAGUUUCUUGCCUGACAUUUCAAGCGCAUCUCUCUCCAUCACGAAAUGGAGAUGCAGAGUGCCGCAGGAGCACUUUGCUCCGUUCUGCAGCUGCAGCUUGAAGCCGCUGCACAAAGCCAGAGAAUCGCAUUUGAUGUGCAACUCCACAGCAUCCGGGCAGAGCAAAGGCCCGCGUGGUUUAUUCCCCUGCCCUGUAAUUGCUUUAUUGUCCAUUUGUUAUGAGCAUUGCCUGUGUUGGAAAAGGUCACAGGCCUAUUUCAUUGGAAGGUGAAUAAAUGGAAAACCAUCACUAAUUACUUUAUGCCAGUGAGCUGAAAACACCCAAAAAGAUUAUUUCUGUUCUCAUUGAAAU
This 807-nucleotide long non-coding RNA is filed under the name Anas platyrhynchos platyrhynchos (common mallard). RNAcentral's name for it is "lncRNA (ENSAPLG00000028924.1)". The record is from RNAcentral. Lineage: Eukaryota; Metazoa; Chordata; Aves; Anseriformes; Anatidae.